RNAcentral lists this ribosomal RNA (602 nucleotides) under Zygaena maroccana tichkana. Its description in RNAcentral is "partial 12S ribosomal RNA". The record is from RNAcentral. Lineage: Eukaryota; Metazoa; Arthropoda; Insecta; Lepidoptera; Zygaenidae.
UGCGGUUAUACAAAAAUUAAAUUGAAUUUUUUUAGGAUUUAAUAAUUAAAUAUUUAAUUAAUAGUUUAAAUUUUAAGUUAUAAGGUGAAAUUUUAACUUAAAUAAAUUUUAUUUUUUUUUAUGAUAUUAAUAAAUUUUAUAAAAAACUAGGAUUAGAUACCCUACUAUAAAAAUUUAAAUUUAAUAAUCUUAAAAUAGUAUAUAAUUUUUUAUAGAAACUUAAAUAAUUUGGCGGUAUUUUAGUUCAUUUAGAGGAAUCUGUCUAAUAAUUGAUAAUCCACGAUUAAAUUUACUUGGCUUAUAAUUUUGUAUAUCGUUGUUAAAAAAAUAUUUUUAAAUAAUUAUAAUAUUUUAAAAUUUAAAUAUAAAUUUAAAUCAGAUCAAGAUGCAGAUUAUAGCUAAGAAUAUGAUGGAUUACAAUAAGUUUUAUUUUUGGAUAUUAAUUUGAAUUAAGUUAAUUGAAAUUGGAUUUAAAUGUAAUUUUAUUUAUUUAAUUAAAAUGAUUAAUAAUUAAAAUAUGUACAUAUUGCCCGUCGCUUUCAUUUAUAAGUUGAAAUAAGUCGUAACAAAGUAGAGGUACUGGAAAGUGUUUCUAGAAAGAU